UGGAGCGCUAUGUGUGGUAGUGGU
This 24-nucleotide non-coding RNA is filed under the name Arabidopsis thaliana (thale cress). Lineage: Eukaryota; Viridiplantae; Streptophyta; Magnoliopsida; Brassicales; Brassicaceae. The record is from RNAcentral.